GUGGGGAAUCUUGCGCAAUGGGCGAAAGCCUGACGCAGCCAUGCCGCGUGGAUGAUGAAGGUCUUAGGAUUGUAAAAUCCUUUCACCGGUGAAGAUAAUGACUGUAGCCGGAGAAGAAGCCCCGGCUAACUUCGUGCCAGCAGCCGCGGUAAUACGAAGGGGGCUAGCGUUGCUCGGAUUUACUGGGCGUAAAGGGCGCGUAGGCGGACAUUUAAGUCAGGGGUGAAAUCCCGGGGCUCAACCUCGGAACUGCCUUUGAUACUGGGUGUCUUGAGUAUGAGAGGGGUGUGUGGAACUCCGAGUGUAGAGGUGAAAUUCGUAGAUAUUCGGAGGAACACCAGUGGCGAAGGCGGCUCACUGGCUCGAUACUGACGCUGAGGUGCGAAAGCGUGGGGAGCAAACAGGAUUAGAAACCCGGGUAGUCC
This 425-nucleotide ribosomal RNA is filed under the name uncultured bacterium. RNAcentral describes it as "partial 16S ribosomal RNA". It matches the Rfam family "Bacterial small subunit ribosomal RNA", at positions 354 to 796 of the family's 1533-position model. The record is from RNAcentral.